This 459-nucleotide ribosomal RNA is filed under the name uncultured bacterium. RNAcentral describes it as "partial 16S ribosomal RNA". It matches the Rfam family "Bacterial small subunit ribosomal RNA", at positions 338 to 795 of the family's 1533-position model. The record is from RNAcentral.
CCUACGGGAGGCAGCAGUGAGGAAUAUUGGUCAAUGGGCGUAAGCCUGAACCAGCCAAGUCGCGUGAGGGAUGAAGGUUCUAUGGAUCGUAAACCUCUUUUAUAAGGGAAUAAAGUGCGGGCCGUGUCCCGUUUUGUAUGUACCUUAUGAAUAAGGAUCGGCUAACUCCGUGCCAGCAGCCGCGGUAAUACGGAGGAUCCGAGCGUUAUCCGGAUUUAUUGGGUUUAAAGGGUGCGUAGGCGGCCUUUAAGUCAGCGGUGAAAGUCUGUGGCUCAACCAUAGAAUUGCCGUUGAAACUGGGAGGCUUGAGUAUGCUUGAGGCAUGCGGAAUGCGUGGUGUAGCGGUGAAAUGCUUAGAUAUCACGCAGAACCCCGAUUGCGAAGGCAGCAUACCGAGCCAUGACUGACGCUGAUGCACGAAAGCGUGGGGAUCGAACAGGAUUAGAUACCCUAGUAGUC